Long non-coding RNA from Eutrema salsugineum, 797 nucleotides. RefSeq lists it as uncharacterized. The transcript has 3 exons. Lineage: Eukaryota; Viridiplantae; Streptophyta; Magnoliopsida; Brassicales; Brassicaceae. The record is from RefSeq and is a predicted model, not a curated record.
GGUAGACAAAUCUUCAUAAAAAAAAACGCUAUUAACUCAGCCCUAGUUCUCAAAAUAUUUCCUUCUCCUAGAAAAAUCUCAAAUCUCUCUCAAAAACCUUCAUCGAUCAUCGGAAAUCUUCAUAUGAAACCUUCUUCGAUCAUCGAAAUUUUGUUUGUUAAUUGAAGAAAUUGUCGUCAGAGUGAGCAAAAUCUAGAAAUCAAGGAGGAAGACGUGAUGAAGCUCAGAGAAACAAGGCUUGCUAUCUAACAAAGCUUUAAACUCUUCCCAAGCAUCUUUCCUAGGCCAAAAGUAGUAUAUAUGGGCUAAGCGUGAUUGUUCCAAAUCCAGGAAUCUUUUGGUCAAAUGCAACUCCUUCUGCAUCCACACAAACAUUAGUACCACCAUUGGCUUCUCCAGCGGCUUCACUAGCACAAAUUCAAGCAACAUAAGGGAGGUUUUACUAGCACACUGCACACACAGCUUCUUCUGCAACAGGCAAAUGAGAGAUCAAAUGGAGAAACAAGAUGGUGUUCCUAAUUUGAGGUGGAAAAAUGAUCUUAAGACUGGUGUCCUAGAAGGUUAUUCAGAUGCAAGUUGGAUCACCAACAUAGACGAUUAUUCUUCUACAAGUGGUUGAGUGUUCUUGCUUGGGAGAGGUGUCAUUUCAUGGGCCUCUAAGAAGCAAACUUGUAUUACAAAUUCUUCUAUGGAGUCAGAAUUUGUAACAUUAGCAGCCGCUGGUAGAGAGGCGGAAUGGUUAAAAAACUUAGUCUACGAGAUUCCGUUGUGGCCAAAACCGAUAUUACCUAUUUCUA